CCCAGCAAUUGGAUUUCAUCAAUAUUAUAUAACGUUGAUUAAAAUUUCCUUUUCUCUCGAGCAACCAUGUAUAUUCCAAGCGUGAUGAAGGGAUUAGAUCAUCGUAUCGUAAAUUAUGCUUACUUCCAACCCCAAAGGCAGACUUUCUAUGUGCUUGUCUCUUUGCUUCGAGGGCCAGCGAACUCUUCACUCUAUAUGACAGAAACAGCCUAGAAUCCAGGGGGAAAUUUGAAAGUCAAUCAAGGAAGGAACUGCAAGAUGGACAGAGCAAGGUCUCGUAGAAAUGUAUGAGAUUCGUUUCUCGCAAAUUACGAGAUACGGAAACGUUUAAAGUCAUCUACAGGCGGAAAUCUGUUCAAGACAGUCGCGAACUUUAUAAUAUAAUGGAAUCGUUUUACAUAUUUGCGGACAAACAACACAACACAGUUUUCGUCUAUGAAUAUGAAAUAAAAAAUUUAAAUAAAAAUUAUGUUAAUCCUUUCGGUACGAGUUGUUUUUUAACAUCGAUGAUAAAGAAAAUAAUCACAGACUUCGCUGGAUGCAUAAGCAUUCAUAGACAACAUCAAUGGAAUUUUUUCUGAUGAAUAUGUACUUCUCCUGUAGGAAAGUAUGAGAUGACUCGUUUGUUUGUAAGAAAUGUUCAAGAGCAGUUAUGAAAUCAUUUACGGAUUUCACUACGUUUUACAUAUUCGAAACUUUCCAUCUUUGCAUUUCUUUUCUGUCUCCCCUUUCUCAUGAAUACUUGAAUACAUGAUUUUUUCAAAUGUAAUAAAAAAAAAAAAAAAAGAAAAAAAAUGCUAAUUCGUAUAUUACAAAACUUCACAAAAAUAAUCGUAAGAAUCUGUUCUAUUUUUCCUCGUAUAUUUCCUUGUUUGGAAAAAGGAAUAAUUUAUGACUUGUAAUUUGUAAAAUUACGCUAAUAAUAUCAGUUUACUUGUACAAGAUGGCCACCAUACACAUAUUUGUCACAUUAGAAAAUAUAGACCUAACCAAACAGGAAUAUUACACAUUACAAGUUAACGUA
Molecule: long non-coding RNA, 1024 nt
Organism: Bombus terrestris (buff-tailed bumblebee)
Lineage: Eukaryota; Metazoa; Arthropoda; Insecta; Hymenoptera; Apidae
Exons: 4
Source: RefSeq, a predicted model, not a curated record